GAACCGUUAUAACCGGCGAUACCCGAAUGGGGAAACCCAGUGUGACUCGUCACACUAUCAUUAACUGAAUCCAUAGGUUAAUGAGGCGAACCGGGGGAACUGAAACAUCUAAGUACCCCGAGGAAAAGAAAUCAACCGAGAUUCCCCCAGUAGCGGCGAGCGAACGGGGAGGAGCCCAGAGCCUGAAUCAGCAUGUGUGUUAGUGGAAGCGUCUGGAAAGGCGCGCGAUACAGGGUGACAGCCCCGUACACAA
This 253-nucleotide ribosomal RNA is filed under the name Salmonella enterica subsp. enterica serovar Telelkebir. RNAcentral's name for it is "partial 23S ribosomal RNA". It matches the Rfam family "Bacterial large subunit ribosomal RNA", at positions 92 to 382 of the family's 2925-position model. Lineage: Bacteria; Pseudomonadati; Pseudomonadota; Gammaproteobacteria; Enterobacterales; Enterobacteriaceae. The record is from RNAcentral.